Molecule: ribosomal RNA, 497 nt
Filed under: uncultured bacterium
Lineage: Bacteria
Description: partial 16S ribosomal RNA
Rfam family: Bacterial small subunit ribosomal RNA
Source: RNAcentral
GAUGAACGCUGGCGGCGUGCCUAAUACAUGCAAGUCGAGCGAACAGACGAGGAGCUUGCUCCUCUGACGUUAGCGGCGGACGGGUGAGUAACACGUGGAUAACCUACCUAUAAGACUGGGAUAACUUCGGGAAACCGGAGCUAAUACCGGAUAAUAUAUUGAACCGCAUGGUUCAAUAGUGAAAGACGGUUUUGCUGUCACUUAUAGAUGGAUCCGCGCCGCAUUAGCUAGUUGGUAAGGUAACGGCUUACCAAGGCAACGAUGCGUAGCCGACCUGAGAGGGUGAUCCGCCACACUGGAACUGAGACACGGUCCAGACUCCUACGGGAGGCAGCAGUCGGGAAUCUUCCGCAAUGGGCGAAAGCCUGACGGAGCAACGCCGCGUGAGUGAUGAAGGUCUUCGGAUCGUAAAACUCUGUUAUUAGGGAAGAACAAAUGUGUAAGUAACUAUGCACGUCUUGACGGUACCUAAUCAGAAAGCCACGGCUAACUACGUG